Molecule: ribosomal RNA, 428 nt
Filed under: uncultured bacterium
Lineage: Bacteria
Description: bacterial SSU rRNA
Rfam family: Bacterial small subunit ribosomal RNA
Source: RNAcentral
ACGAACGCUGGCGGCAGGCUUAACACAUGCAAGUCGAACGCCCCGCAAGGGGAGUGGCAGACGGGUGAGUAACGCGUGGGAACGUACCUUUCGCUUCGGAAUAUUCCCGGGAAACUGGGAGCAAUGCCGAAUACGCCGUAUUGGGAAAGAUUUAUCGGCGAAAGAUCGGCCCGCGUUAGAUUAGCUAGUUGGCGGUGUAAUGGACCACCAAGGCUACGAUCUAUAGCUGGUCUGAGAGGAUGAUCAGCCACACUGGGACUGAGACACGGCCCAGACUCCUACGGGAGGCAGCAGUGGGGAAUCUUGGACAAUGGGCGCAAGCCUGAUCCAGCCAUGCCGCGUGAGUGAAGAAGGCCUUAGGGUUGUAAAACUCUUUCGCCGGAGAAGAUAAUGACGGUAUCCGGAGAAGAAGCCCCGGCUAACUUCGU